CGUUGGGGUUUUUUUGGAUGCGUGGGAAGCAGGGUAUUUAUCAUAUGGUAGAAAAAGUAUCACUGCAAGCAGACUGGCUUUCAGCUGUGCUUUGCAAAUAUAAUAAUACUUUAUUAAACUCCUACCUCCAGGUCUCACCUUCUCCAAUUUGAACAGUUGAACCUAAAAGGCUGAACUGGAAAACAUAUACCGCCGCUAGGCUAUAUCAAGAUACAGCUUUUCAUGUCUUUAAUUAGCCUUUAUUAAAGAAUAAAUAGAAAUGUGCAUCUUUUUCAGAAAGAAAGAAUUCCUAAAUGUGGGUAAGAAAUUCUAAGUAAAGAGUCCUGUACUCUGUUAAUGGACUACAGUAAGCAUUGAUGGUAGGGAAGAAAUUUUCUGUUUACUGGGAUAAAAAGUAGUAUUCAAAUAACCAAUUAACAAGAGAACCAAUAAGCUGCUCAGAAUUUAAAUAUAGCUCCAAAUGAACAACCAAUCACAUCACCAACUGACCAAACUGACACAAGAUAUUUAUAAGUGAAGGAGAAUAGGACAAGAACAUCCUGCUGUUACCUAGUCUGGUAACGAAACAUUCAAAAACUAAACUGAAAUAAGCUUGGAGAGCAAACCACUGCCAAAAUGGAAAUUAGUAUUUCUGAUUUGUGAAAAAAAGCAGUGAUAGGUGAGAAUGUUUUAUGUAAAUCACGGCACAAUUAAUGAUCUCCCUUGAAAAAAAUAAAUCAGAAAAUCAGUUAAAAGAUGUGCCAUAGGUUGGAGCUUAAAUGACAAAGGAUAUGGCAUCCUACAAUGAAAAAUGUUCUCAUCGAUUCACUGUAAAUCUAGAGGCAACCAUCUUAAGCACCAAAAAAGAAACGAAGAAAAGUAUGAAUGAAUGCUAUUGUUACUGAAGAAGUUACCAAUAUUGAUGGUAUUGGGAAUAUUCUUCUUGUUUCUCAUAAUGAAUAAGGGUGAGAAGAAAGAACACUACUGCUCCCCAUGGAAAGGGAAUAUUGGGGUUUAAUCUAAGCAUCAGGAAACAUUGAAACCCCAUAGAAGUAAAGAAUAACUUUACUCUGGCAAGUAAAGAGGAUCCAAGGUGUUGUUUAUAAGAUCAUAUUUGAGCUCUGCCACAUCUUGUUGGAUCAGCUUUAACCAACUUUUACCUGAUCCAGGAUAUCUUUUAACAGAACAGUAGAAGAGUCUUCUUUUACCAUCUUGCCUGACUCACUAGAUAAUGGUGCAGUUGAAAUUAAACCACUGUUAAACAUUUACAUUUGAUUGCCAUUCUAAUAGAUCAUUAAAUGGAAAUUUUAUGUAAUAAAAAGUUUUAUUUACUAAUAA
This is a long non-coding RNA of Pantherophis guttatus, 1317 nucleotides long. RefSeq lists it as uncharacterized. The record is from RefSeq and is a predicted model, not a curated record. NCBI's taxonomy places the organism in Eukaryota, Metazoa, Chordata, Lepidosauria, Squamata, Colubridae.